UACGGGGGGAGCAAGCGUUGUUCGGAUUUACUGGGCGUAAAGGGCGCGUAGGCGGCCAGUGCAAGUCAGUUGUGAAAUCUCCGGGCUUAACUCGGAAAGGUCAACUGAUACUGCUCGGCUAGAGUGCGGAAGGGGCAACUGGAAUUCUUGGUGUAGCGGUGAAAUGCGUAGAUAUCAAGAGGAACACCUGCGGCGAAGGCGGGUUGCUGGGCCGACACUGACGCUGAUGCGCGAAAGCUAGGGGAGCGAACGGG
RNAcentral lists this ribosomal RNA (254 nucleotides) under uncultured bacterium. Its description in RNAcentral is "partial 16S ribosomal RNA". It matches the Rfam family "Bacterial small subunit ribosomal RNA", at positions 524 to 776 of the family's 1533-position model. The record is from RNAcentral.